Molecule: ribosomal RNA, 465 nt
Filed under: uncultured bacterium
Lineage: Bacteria
Description: partial 16S ribosomal RNA
Rfam family: Bacterial small subunit ribosomal RNA
Source: RNAcentral
GACGAACGCUGGCGGCGUGCUUAACACAUGCAAGUCGAACGGAAAGGCCCUGCUUGCAGGGUACUCGAGUGGCGAACGGGUGAGUAACACGUGGGUGAUCUGCCCUGCACUUCGGGAUAAGCCUGGGAAACUGGGUCUAAUACCGGAUAGGAGCCAUUUUUAGUGUGAUGGUUGGAAAGUUUUUUCGGUGUAGGAUGAGCUCGCGGCCUAUCAGCUUGUUGGUGGGGUAAUGGCCUACCAAGGCGGCGACGGGUAGCCGGCCUGAGAGGGUGGACGGCCACAUUGGGACUGAGAGACGGCCCAGACGCCGACGGGAGGCAGCAGUGGGGAAUAUUGCACAAUGGGCGCAAGCCUGAUGCAGCGACGCCGCGUGGGGGAUGACGGCCUUCGGGUUGUAAACUCCUUUCGCUAGGGACGAAGCUUUUUGUGACGGUACCUAGAUAAGAAGCACCGGCUAACUACGUG